This 440-nucleotide ribosomal RNA is filed under the name uncultured bacterium. Its description in RNAcentral is "partial 16S ribosomal RNA". It matches the Rfam family "Bacterial small subunit ribosomal RNA", at positions 338 to 795 of the family's 1533-position model. The record is from RNAcentral.
CCUACGGGUGGCAGCAGUAGGGAAUAUUGCUCAAUGGGGGAAACCCUGAAGCAGCAACGCCGCGUGGAGGAUGAAGGUUUUCGGAUUGUAAACUCCUUUUGUUAGAGAAGAUAAUGACGGUAACUAACGAAUAAGCACCGGCUAACUCCGUGCCAGCAGCCGCGGUAAUACGGAGGGUGCAAGCGUUACUCGGAAUGACUGGGCGUAAAGAGUGCGGAGGCGGGAUAGCAAGUCAGAUGUGAAAUUCUAGGGCUUAACCAUAGAACUGCAUUUGAAAAUGUUAUUCUAGAGUAUGGGAGAGGUAGGUGGAAUUCUUGGUGUAGGGGUGAAAUCCGUAGAGAUCAGGAGGAAUACUCAUUGCGAAGGCGACCUGCUAGAACAGAUCUGACGCUGAGGCGCGAAAGCGUGGGGAGCAAACAGGAUUAGAUACCCUAGUAGUC